RNAcentral lists this ribosomal RNA (301 nucleotides) under uncultured bacterium. RNAcentral describes it as "partial 16S ribosomal RNA". It matches the Rfam family "Bacterial small subunit ribosomal RNA", at positions 509 to 809 of the family's 1533-position model. The record is from RNAcentral.
CAGUCGCCGCGGUAAAACGGAGGGUGCAAGCGUUAAUCGGAAUUACUGGGCGUAAAGCGCACGCAGGCGGUCUGACAAGUCAGAUGUGAAAUCCCCGGGCUUAACCUGGGAACUGCAUUUGAAACUGUCAGGCUGGAGUCUUGUAGAGGGGGGUGGAAUUCCAGGUGUAGCGGUGAAAUGCGUAGAGAUCUGGAGGAAUACCGGUGGCGAAGGCGACCCCCUGGACAAAGACUGACGCUCAGGUGCGAAAGCGUGGGGAGCAAACAGGAUUAGAGACCCCUGUAGUCCCUGUCUCUUAUAA